Molecule: unclassified non-coding RNA, 219 nt
Filed under: uncultured Didymosphaeria
Lineage: Eukaryota; Fungi; Ascomycota; Dothideomycetes; Pleosporales; Didymosphaeriaceae
Description: sequence contains ITS1
Source: RNAcentral
AGAAAAUAAAGUUGUGCAUGGCGGUCCAAGGCAAUUGCCGGGCCGCCGCCUAGACGCAACACCCUCUGCAUAUCUACCGCGUUGCUUUGGCGGGACGGCAGCCAACAGCUCUGCUGGGAACCUGUCCGCAGGGCCCCUCAAGGCCCCGUGAGUGCCCGCCAGAGGACCAUCAAACUCAUGUUAAACCGUGAUGUCUGAGCUUUACAAGCAAUAAGUUAA